AUGUGAUCGUCUCUCGCAUAUCAAUAAGCGGAGGAAAAGAAACUAACAAGGAUUCCCCUAGUAACGGCGAGUGAAGCGGGAAGAGCUCAAAUUUGAAAUCUUAAAGGGUUUCCCUUUACGAAUUGUAGUUUAAAGAAGUGUUUUCUGUUGAGGUUUUGGUAAAAGUUCUUUGGAAUAGGACAUCAUAGAGGGUGAGAAUCCCGUAUUUGACCUUUACUUUCAACUUUGUGAUACACUUUCAAAGAGUCGGAUUGUUUGGGAAUGCAGUCCAAAAUGGGUGGUAAAUUUCAUCUAAAGCUAAAUAUUGGCGAGAGACCGAUAGCGAACAAGUACCGUGAGGGAAAGAUGAAAAGAACUUUGAAAAGAGAGUUAAACAGUACGUGAAAUUGUCAAAAGGGAAGCGUUUGACACCAGUGUUGUUUUUCUGAAAAUCAAUUAAAGAACUGUUUAUGCUAAGCUGUUUAGACUUUAUCAGCUAAUCUGUUUAGUUUUGAGCUUUUCUUUAAUGCACUUUUCAGUUAACAAGUCAACAUCAAUUUCUUUUGCUGUAAAAAAGCUUGAGGAAGGUGGCUUGAGAUUCGUCUUAAGUGUUUAUAGCCUCUUGCCUAUGCAGUCGGAGAGAUUGAGGUCUGCAGCGUAGAUCCUUCGGGGCUGAAUGCAUUUGUGCUAAGUUAUAGCAUUUCAUAGACAACUUGUUGACUAUGAUUUGUCUUGUAGCUUACUCGCUUAUGUUAUUUUACCUACGCUUAGGAUGUUGAUCUACAGAGCGAGAGU
This 774-nucleotide ribosomal RNA is filed under the name uncultured Neocallimastigales. Its description in RNAcentral is "partial large subunit ribosomal RNA". It matches the Rfam family "Eukaryotic large subunit ribosomal RNA", at positions 24 to 635 of the family's 3401-position model. Lineage: Eukaryota; Fungi; Neocallimastigomycota; Neocallimastigomycetes; Neocallimastigales. The record is from RNAcentral.